This 63-nucleotide transfer RNA is filed under the name Physoderes impexa. RNAcentral's name for it is "tRNA-His". The record is from RNAcentral. Lineage: Eukaryota; Metazoa; Arthropoda; Insecta; Hemiptera; Reduviidae.
AUUUAAGUAGUUUAAUUAGAAUAAUAAUUUGUGAUAUUAUGGGUAUUGAUAUAAUCUUAAAUU